AAAGGUACUCACAAAGGUACUUACAAAUGUACUCACAAAGGAACUCACAAAUGUACUCACAAAGGUACUCACAAAGGAACUCACAAAGGUACUCACAAA
Long non-coding RNA from Brienomyrus brachyistius, 99 nucleotides. RefSeq lists it as uncharacterized. The transcript is spliced from 2 exons. Lineage: Eukaryota; Metazoa; Chordata; Actinopteri; Osteoglossiformes; Mormyridae. The record is from RefSeq and is a predicted model, not a curated record.